CUACGGGCCGCUGCAGUCGAGGAUCUUUCGCAAUGGGGGAAACCCUGACGAAGCGACGCUGCGUGGAGGAUGAAGACCUUCGGGUUGUAAACUCCUGUCACCUGGGAAGAAAAGUGUGCCUGCAAAUAGCCGACACAUUUGACGGUACCAGGGGAGGAAGCCACGGCUAACUCUGUGCCAGCAGCCGCGGUAAUACAGAGGUGGCUAGCGUUGUUCGGAAUUAUUGGGCGUAAAGCGCGUGUAGGCGGCUGUGAAAGUUCGGUAUGAAAUCCUUCGGCUCAACCGAGGAAGGGUGCCGAAAACUUCACGGCUAGAGUACGAGAGAGGAAAGCGGAAUUCCCGGUGUAAGAGUGAAAUCUGUAGAUAUCGGGAGGAACACCAGUGGCGAAGGCGGCUUUCUGGCUCGAUACUGACGUUGAAAUGCGAAAGGUAGGGGAGCAAACAGGAUUAGAUACCCGCGUAGUC
Molecule: ribosomal RNA, 465 nt
Filed under: uncultured bacterium
Lineage: Bacteria
Description: partial 16S ribosomal RNA
Rfam family: Bacterial small subunit ribosomal RNA
Source: RNAcentral